RNAcentral lists this unclassified non-coding RNA (366 nucleotides) under Hevea brasiliensis (rubber tree). Lineage: Eukaryota; Viridiplantae; Streptophyta; Magnoliopsida; Malpighiales; Euphorbiaceae. The record is from RNAcentral.
AUAGUCAUCAACUGUUUCCACCUGCAAGAUAAGAAGUUUAAUGGCAUCACAUAGAAAUUUUACCUAUCUGCACCAUGAAAAGAUAACGACAAUAUUCAUGCUCUGAAGCUUAUGCAAUUUGCAUAAAACAUAACUAGCCUCAAAUACUUCAAAACCACAGAUCUGAUUACCAUGAUGCAUGUUAAUGGGUUCACUAUGGUCCAGAUUAUAUGACUGAAUAAUCACGUCUGACAUCACAACAGAUGCACUGUACAUAUGCUUGGUUGCACAAAAAUUUGUAUUAUAUAUCAUUAGAAUUAAUAGUGAUUCCCAGAGAACAUUUUUCAGUUAGUUAUCUAAUCAUGCAGUACCCUUACAUGAUAAAAU